GAACGAUAUGGUGGUGAUAUCCUAUCACUCACAUGAUGUUAUAUGAAAAAAUUAAAAUAUAUAACAGCUCCUGAUAAGAUGCAAAUACUAUUAGUAUAGUCUAAAUUUAAAAGUGAAAGGGAAGGUGUAAAUCACCAUAUCUCAAUGCAUUAAAUUUUAGAAUACUAGGCUAUUAGUUAUUUCUGUAAGUAUGUAUACAUGACAGAAACAAAAUUUUAUCACACGGAUGGCAUGAAAAAUAUGCUCUCAAAUAUAUUAUAAAAUUUAAUCUUAGAAAUUGAUACCAUCCUCAAAUUCAAACUUCGUCAAUGAAAAUAAAAUUUGAAAUAAUCUGUAACGCAUCGAAAGCAAGUAUUUUUGGUGCUCUAGAGUAUACUCUAAGCCAACUUAAUAUGCACUUUAGAUGUAUUGACAUAUCAAAUGCUCUAAUCAUAACACAUUGUUCCUAUCUCAUGUGAGGUCCUUAAUUAUUUGAAAGGAAAAAAAAAAAACCAAGUGGACGUGAGUUUUUUUCUUUGUUUUUCCUGCUAUUUUGGCUUUUAUCAUACAAUAAUUUGCAGUGAAAGAAAAAUAACUCCUUGCAUGCUAUAUGUAACUUAGUUAUUACUUAAAAAGUUAGCAAACUAUAUAAUAAGUUUUUGGAAAUUAAAAUUACUAAGCUUAUAAUGAAAUUUGUAUGAAAUAUUAUUAACUGUAUUUUAAAUUAAGAAAUGGGAGAAAUAAAUUAACAGUGAACUUGUAAAAAAAUAUUAAUUAUAAUACUUAAUCCUCGAAACUAAGAUUGUCCUCAAAUUUUAAUCUCCUCGAUGAAAAACGAAGUAUGCAGUGUAUAAUCUAUAAUGCAUCGUAGCAAGUGUUUUUGGUGCUUUAGAGUCUUGUCUAAUCUAAUGACAACGUGAAAAAAAUAAACCUUUUACUUAUAAAUGAAAAGAAGAACAUUAACAUAAUAUUAAGUGACUUUUCUUUUGAUUGUUUAAGAAUGGGCGGCUUCUUUAUAAUGUUUAAGGUUAGGACUUAGGGCACUUGUGUAUAUUUUAAUUUUCAACCGUAUGCAUACUUGUUUAAUGUUGAAUACUUGGGCAAUAAUAUAUUUUAGAGCGUGGGUUGCGGAUCACCCCUUUCCAGUGGAAUUUUUAUUACCACAUAUUCUGCAUUAGCAAAUAAAAUUAAAAAUGCUUGGCAAAACCAACUAAGAGAAGACAAAUGACAAUCUGGUAAAACAUACUUUAUAAUUUAUAAACAAACACUACUUGGUGAUAACAUCCUUAAUUAACAUCACUAGUGGGUGCGUAAAUUGCAAUCAAUCAAAAUAUAAAGCAACAAGGAUGCUUCAACUCCUUUUGUUCCUUUGGAUAUGCCUGGAAAUGUUGGAGAUAUAUAUUUGUUUUAUUCUUAGGCAAUUUAAGGAACAUAAUAAAGUGGA
Molecule: long non-coding RNA, 1423 nt
Filed under: Malus domestica (apple)
Lineage: Eukaryota; Viridiplantae; Streptophyta; Magnoliopsida; Rosales; Rosaceae
Description: long non-coding RNA (MDOM_LNC005081)
Source: RNAcentral